RNAcentral lists this ribosomal RNA (332 nucleotides) under uncultured bacterium. RNAcentral's name for it is "bacterial SSU rRNA". It matches the Rfam family "Bacterial small subunit ribosomal RNA", at positions 568 to 898 of the family's 1533-position model. The record is from RNAcentral.
UGCGUAGGCGGCUAGGUAAGUCACGUGUGAAAGGCCGGGGCUCGACCCCGGAUCUGCAUGUGAGACUGUCUGGCUCGAGCAUGGUAGAGGCGGGCGGAAUUCCUGGUGUAGCGGUGGAAUGCGUAGAGAUCAGGAAGAACACCGGUGGCGAAGGCGGCUCGCUGGGCCAUUGCUGACGCUGAGGCACGAAAGCGUGGGGAGCAAACAGGAUUAGAUACCCUGGUAGUCCACGCCCUAAACGAUGGACACUAGGCGUCGGGGGGAGCGACCCUCCCGGUGCCGUCGCUAACGCAAUAAGUGUCCCGCCUGGGGAGUACGGCCGCAAGGCUGAA